This 497-nucleotide ribosomal RNA is filed under the name uncultured bacterium. RNAcentral's name for it is "partial 16S ribosomal RNA". It matches the Rfam family "Bacterial small subunit ribosomal RNA", at positions 28 to 507 of the family's 1533-position model. The record is from RNAcentral.
GAUGAACGCUGGCGGCGUGCCUAAUACAUGCAAGUCGAGCGAACAGACGAGGAGCUUGCUCUUCUGACGUUAGCGGCGGACGGGUGAGUAACACGUGGAUAACCUACCUAUAAGACUGGGAUAACUUCGGGAAACCGGAGCUAAUACCGGAUAAUAUAUUGAACCGCAUGGUUCAAUAGUGAAAGACGGUUUUGCUGUCACUUAUAGAUGGAUCCGCGCCGCAUUAGCUAGUUGGUAAGGUAACGGCUUACCAAGGCGACGAUGCGUAGCCGACCUGAGAGGGUGAUCGGCCACACUGGAACUGAGACACGGUCCAGACUCCUACGGGAGGCAGCAGUAGGGAAUCUUCCGCAAUGAGCGAAAGCCUGACGGAGCAACGCCGCGUGAGUGAUGAAGGUCUUCGGAUCGUAAAACUCUGUUAUUAGGGAAGAACAAAUGUGUAAGUAACUAUGCACGUCUUGACGGUACCUAAUCAGAAAGCCACGGCUAACUACGUG